Molecule: ribosomal RNA, 789 nt
Filed under: uncultured beta proteobacterium
Lineage: Bacteria; Pseudomonadati; Pseudomonadota; Betaproteobacteria
Description: bacterial SSU rRNA
Rfam family: Bacterial small subunit ribosomal RNA
Source: RNAcentral
AGAGUUUCGAUCCAGGCUCAGAUUGAACGCUGGCGGCAUGCCUUACACAUGCAAGUCGAACGGCAGCACGGGAGCAAUCCUGGUGGCGAGUGGCGAACGGGUGAGUAAUAUAUCGGAACGUGCCCAGUCGUGGGGGAUAACGCAGCGAAAGCUGUGCUAAUACCGCAUACGAUCUCUGGAUGAAAGCGGGGGACUCGCAAGAGCCUCGCGCGAUUGGAGCGGCCGAUAUCAGAUUAGCUAGUUGGUGGAGGCCCACCAAGGCGACGAUCUGUAGCUGGUCUGAGAGGACGACCAGCCACACUGGAACUGAGACACGGUCCAGACUCCUACGGGAGGCAGCAGUGGGGAAUUUUGGACAAUGGGCGCAAGCCUGAUCCAGCAAUGCCGCGUGCAGGAUGAAGGCCUUCGGGUUGUAAACUGCUUUUGUACGGAACGAAACGGUCUGCCCUAAUACGGUGGGCUAAUGACGGUACCGUAAGAAUAAGCACCGGCUAACUACGUGCCAGCAGCCGCGGUAAUACGUAGGGUGCGAGCGUUAAUCGGAAUUACUGGGCGUAAAGCGUGCGCAGGCGGUUAUGUAAGACAGAUGUGAAAUCCCCGGGCUCAACCUGGGACCUGCAUUUGUGACUGCAUAGCUAGAGUACGGUAGAGGGGGAUGGAAUUCCGCGUGUAGCAGUGAAAUGCGUAGAUAUCGUAAGGAAGACCAGUGGCGAAGGCGGGUCUCUGGACAGUUCCUGACACUGAGGCACGAAGGCCAGGGGAGCAAACGUGAAUUAGAUACCCCGGUAG